GGCCAGACUCCUACGGGAGGCAGCAGUGGGGGAUAUUGCACAAUGGGGGAAACCCUGAUACAGCGACGCCGCGUGUGGGAAGACGGCCUUCUGGAUUGUAAACCACUGUCCCCAGGGACGAAAAUGACGGUACCUGGGGAGGAAGCUCCGGCUAACUACGUGCCAGCAGCCGCGGUAAUACGUAGGGAGCAAGCGUUGUCCGGAAUUACUGGGUGUAAAGGGAGCGUAGGCGGGGAUGCAAGUUGGGUGUCAAAACUAUCGGCUCAACCGAUAGUCGCACUCAAAACUGCAGCUCUUGAGUGAAGUAGAGGCAGGCGGAAUUCCUAGUGUAGCGGUGAAAUGCGUAGAUAUUAGGAGGAACACCAGUGGCGAAGGCGGCCUGCUGGGCUUUUACUGACGCUGAGGCUCGAAAGUGUGGGGAGCAAACAGGAUUAGAUACCCCCGUAA
Molecule: ribosomal RNA, 447 nt
Filed under: uncultured bacterium
Lineage: Bacteria
Description: partial 16S ribosomal RNA
Rfam family: Bacterial small subunit ribosomal RNA
Source: RNAcentral